RNAcentral lists this ribosomal RNA (496 nucleotides) under uncultured bacterium. RNAcentral's name for it is "bacterial SSU rRNA". It matches the Rfam family "Bacterial small subunit ribosomal RNA", at positions 33 to 507 of the family's 1533-position model. The record is from RNAcentral.
GUACGCUGGCGGCGUGUCUUAGCCAUGCAAGUCGAGCGGACUUAUGGGGUAACUUAUAAGUCAGCGGCGGACGGCGGAGUAACACGUAGCUAACCUACCCUCUGGACGGGGAUAACCUACCGAAAGGUGGGCUAAUACCCGAUGUAGUCAUCCUGUAUAGGGGUGAUGAAAGGUGGGCUUCUGUUUACAAGCUCAUGCUGGAGGAGGGGGCGUGCGGCCUAUCAGGUAGUUGGUAGGGUAAUAGCCUACCAAGCCGAUGACGGGUAGCCGGCCUGAGAGGGUGACCGGCCCGAGGGGCACUGAGAUACGGGUCCCACUCCUACGGGAGGCAGCAGGCUAGAAAUUUGGGCAAUGGGGGAAACCCUGACCCAGUGACGCCGCGUGCAGGAAGGAGCCCUUCGGGGUGUAAACUGCUGUCGUGUAGGGAGAAGGGUACUAAGGUGAACAAUCUUAGUACUUGACGGUACUACAGGAGGAAGCCCAGGCUAACCUCGUG